UUCACUUCUUUUUUUUCUCCAUGCAGCUGCGCUCAACUGCUUUCAGAAGAGCCCGGAUCAGGUGUCUGGAGUCUGGAUGGCGACCCGCUGGCCAGGGAGGCUAUGAUCCCAUGCUUGGGCUGGCCUGCAGGGUGGGGCCAGGAGGUGUGGAGACACGGGCCCAGGAGGAGAAGUCACAGGGCAGUGGAGUCAUUCAAGUGCUGUAAUAUUCACAGAGAAGCAGUCCCCGAACUUUGUCUUCAUUUAUGGAUCCAUGUAGUCUGAAAGUUCAUUGUUCACUAAAUAUCUCUGGUUACCAUUUCACUUUAAUUCAAACAAUACCUCAGUUUUCUAGAAUUGAUUCGCUCCAGAUCUGAACUAAUUAUAGACCCAGUUGCAAAUCUACAAAAAGUGUUUGAAAAUCAUGAGCAGACAAAUCAUUUCAGUUUCUAGCAUACAUGGUGGGUUCCCUUCCCAUCAACUACUUUUUCCUCAGAGAAUUCCACUUCGGUCCAGGGUGGAUGCUGGUGAGCCCAAGUCAGUCCUGGGAGUUCUGGCCCCUAGUCAGGGGUUGAUUUGGGCAAGGCAAUGCGAGGCCCUGAUGGGGAAGUUGGCUGGAGGGGGGUAGGGUAGGUCUGGAAAAGGUUUCCUUCCCCUAAAAAAGACACAGAAGGAGAUGUUCUCUCCUCUUUCUUGGCACAUCACUGUGUCUGGGAUGUGCCUUUGGAAGCACUACAGCACAUUGCCACCAGCUGGAUGAGCUAAGUGUGGAAGAAAGCAGAGUGGGUAGAAUUCCCCAGCAGUAAAACAGGGCCUCAAGUGUUGUGCCUGGACUCUGUCCUCCUUGGAACCUCUCUAUUCAAGGACACAGUACACUGCCUUACUGCUUAAGCCACGAUGACUCGGGAUUUUCAACUAUUUACAACCCAAAGCAUGCUCAGUAACAGGCAAGUGUGCAUUGAAGUCUAUACACUCUGCUCACAGAACAGCGGGUCAGGCGUUGAGUUCUAGCAAAUGGGCUUAUCUGAUUUCCCAGUUCAGGGCAGACUGGAAGUAGCACGUUAGAAGUGGAGAAAAGGGCUGUUAGAAGCAGCGGCCGGACAGAAGAGACAGAAAGGUGGAAACCAGAAGCCCGGAUCAUUAAUGCCGGGCAAACAAGUCCGGCCCCUCCCAGCUCGUGGCGGUGUCGGAGUCCAUCUCAGUGGCUGAUCCUGCACGAUGACGACGGCCAUGUGUCAUCCCGGGAAGUUUGCUUUCUGGUUCGCGUAUUCUGAGGCUGAUUAAUAUUCCUAAACAUUUCUCUGUAAACAAGGAAGAAGGUUACAUGACUAAAGGGAUAAGCUUAUCUGAAAAGGCACAGAGAAGAGAUUCACUCCCCUGCGCGGCUCCGUUGAUGCGAGCUGUACGUCUCUGCAAGUAGAACCUGCUCGAAGUUGGCUUCACCCAGAGAAAAGGGAGGUGACAAAAAUGCGGCAGGAUUUGGCUGGCUGCCCCGAGCAGCUCGUUUCCCUUUGGGUCCUCGGGAGAAGCCCCAGCAGAGAAGAAGCAAAGCGUCAGGACCAGGGGGUGCCCUUCUGGGAAGACGGACUUCUCUGUGGUCCAAGGGCUCAGCGAGACUGGCCCCGCGGUCUCCUCAGAAGCUGCCCAUGGGAAGUCAGUAAGCUGCUCGCCUCUCCUCUUGGGCGGCUGGGCGCUUGUAAUUAAAAUGUAAAUAAUUCUCCGGGCCAACAGCUUGGAGACGAAAAUGGCUGGAAAGAUCACAGUAAAACCGCACCACGCCAAACGGGUUCUAAGCCUUUGUCUGCACAGAUGCUAGGCCCACCAGUGGUUAGUUGUCUGGGUGAGGAGUCACUCGGAAUGAGGCCUUGGCAACUACGUCCGGCCAUACUCCCCUGACUCCAGCAUCUAAAACCGAGGGUGGCUUGCUUCCCCAGUUCCCGGGGCCUGGGCAGCUCAGAACACAAGUGUUAGGGUGAGCCCCGGCCCUCCCUGCAGCCAGCGGGCGCUCUGUGACCCCCACACCCGGCCCUCCCCUUGCACUGGGAGGGCCACCCUGUACUGAGCAGCGGCGGGCUGGGUCGAGCUCCCCGUUUGCCGGCCCCUGUUGGAAGCAGAUGUGCGGUCUCUACAGGCCUCCGCCCCUCGGGAUGUUACUUGGGCUGUAAAAUGAUUCUGAGUUUGAGGCGUACCCCGAAACCUUAGUAAUAUGCAAAUACAAGCCAAAGAAGGCGGGAGACCCCUAAUACUCCCUUUUGUACCUCCCAUCAGAUAUGCGUGCGGCUUGGACAGAGUCGUUGCUCAUCGUUUUUAAAAAUUAGUAAUAAGUGAUUUAUCAACCUGAGUACCAAGUGAGGGAAAUAUAUAUAGAGAAUGAAAGAAUUUUAUUAAGAACGAAACAGACCAAUUAAAUUAAUUGGUUUCCAGGGGCAUUUUUUUAUAUUGGUGUUCAUACUGAGGAUUGUUACUGGAAAUUAUCAUUAUUAUUAUUAUUAGCAGCCAACAUUUUGAGUUUGAGCUAAAUGCCUUGCCUUCGUGGUUUUAUUUUAUUAUCAACAGCAAGCAUACACUUAUUAAACCCAUUUUACAGAUAGAGAAAAUGAGGCUUAGGGAUGUCAGGUCAUUUACCUGGAGACGUAGCCUGAGGUAGUGGUUGGAGUACCCCUCAAAUUAAGUCUGUUCCCGUGCCAAAGCCCUAACCACUGUGUAGUUAUUGACCACAGUUGUGAAGAAUUUUUCUAAGAUUUUCCCUUGUUUUUUAAAUAAAGGGGACUUGAGAUCUUAUCUCUCACUUGCAUUCUAGUAUGUUGCUGUAAGGGCGAGAAGGCUAGAAUCAUGGUUGAUCUGCAGACAGUGGUGAGAAAUCAUGUAUGUUCAUGAAGGGGCUCAUCUGUCUGUCAUGGCAGAGAAAAGACCGACACGUGAUCUUAGGGUUCCUGAAAUGUAAUGGAGUCCAAGAGUAGAUGUUUUCAAAUGGAACAUUCUAAAGAAUUUUCGUUAAAUAAUUUUCAGUAAGUUAAAUAAUUCUCCUUAAAUGCUUACUUGAUUUUUAAAGUUCACUUAAAAAAAAAAAAAACUGAUUUAAAGUUUUCCUUACACUCUACGUUCGUUCUUAUUUUCGACUCAUUCAUUCGGUUAGUGGGCUCGGGAAAUGUCUAAUGACACCACGGCUGCGGUGCCAAGCUAUGGCACGGGAGGCUGUCUUCAUACAGUCAGCCUUGGGGUGUCCUGCUCUCAUUCUUGGUGACCCGGUUUGGGUUCACAAGGUGAACCGGGUACCAGGCCUCACUUGGGUAAUCGCCAGGUGGGUCCCACCGGCCCUGUGUUUGGGGUGUAUAAGCUAGUUCAGGUGCUCGUAUUUUAGAGUCCUCUUUCUCCAUAGUAAUUUACAUGUACAUAUAUGGCUUGGGUAGCAUAUAUACAUUAGCAAAUACACGCUUGUUACUCCAGCAGUGCAAGCUCAGGAGAAGAAAAGUAUUAUAUAACAAGAAGCAUGGGGGCACCUGGUGGUACCGUUGGUUAAACAUCAGACUCCUGGUUUCGGCUCAGAUCCUGAUCUCAGAGUCUUGAGAUCAAGCCCCACAUUGGGCUCUGUGCCCCUCCACCUCUGCAUCCCUCUCUCUCCCAAAUAAAAAUAAAAUGAAAAUCAAUAAAUCUUU
This is a long non-coding RNA of Mustela lutreola (European mink), 3635 nucleotides long. RefSeq lists it as uncharacterized. The transcript has 2 exons. The record is from RefSeq and is a predicted model, not a curated record. NCBI's taxonomy places the organism in Eukaryota, Metazoa, Chordata, Mammalia, Carnivora, Mustelidae.